Molecule: non-coding RNA, 119 nt
Organism: Labrus bergylta (ballan wrasse)
Lineage: Eukaryota; Metazoa; Chordata; Actinopteri; Labriformes; Labridae
Source: RefSeq, a predicted model, not a curated record
CUUCUCUGUUCGCUCCGAGUCCUUUUAUUGUUCAUAUUAAACUGUGUGUGUGUGUGUGUGUGUGUGUGUGUGUGUGUGUGUGUGUGUGUGUGUGUGCGUGUGUGUGUGUGUGUGUAUGU